RNAcentral lists this ribosomal RNA (602 nucleotides) under uncultured Oscillatoriales cyanobacterium. RNAcentral describes it as "bacterial SSU rRNA". It matches the Rfam family "Bacterial small subunit ribosomal RNA", at positions 152 to 787 of the family's 1533-position model. The record is from RNAcentral. Lineage: Bacteria; Bacillati; Cyanobacteriota; Cyanophyceae; Oscillatoriales.
GGAAACGGUGGCUAAUACCGGAUAAGCCUAUGGGUAAAAGAUUUAUUGCCCCAAGAGGAGCUCGCGUCUGAUUAGCUAGUUGGUGAGGUAAAAGCUCACCAAGGCAGCGAUCAGUAGCUGGUCUGAGAGGACGAUCAGCCACACUGGGACUGAGACACGGCCCAGACUCCUACGGGAGGCAGCAGUGGGGAAUUUUCCGCAAUGGGCGAAAGCCUGACGGAGCAAGACCGCGUGAGGGAGGAAGGCUCUUGGGUUGUAAACCUCUUUUCUCAGGGAAGAAGCUCUGACGGUACCUGAGGAAUCAGCCUCGGCUAACUCCGUGCCAGCAGCCGCGGUAAUACGGAGGAGGCAAGCGUUAUCCGGAAUGAUUGGGCGUAAAGCGUCCGCAGGUGGCCGUUCAAGUCUGCUGUCAAAUCCAGGGGCUCAACUCCUGACCGGCAGUGGAAACUGAACAGCUAGAGUGCGGUAGGGGCAGAGGGAAUUCCCGGUGUAGCGGUGAAAUGCGUAGAGAUCGGGAAGAACACCGGUGGCGAAAGCGCUCUGCUGGGCCGCAACUGACACUCAGGGACGAAAGCUAGGGGAGCGAAUGGGAUUAGAUACCC